GUCGGAGAGAGGACCCACAACAGCCACUGCCUCGAUUUCCACCAGUCCACCCUGAAGACAAAUGUUAGCAGUUACCAGUAAAAAUCAUCAAGGACUACUAACUGAUGGGGAUGGAGUCAGCUGUUAAAGAUUUCCAGACCACGUGACAUGUGAUUUCUGCCCACCUGUCUGGCCUGAGCCUGGACUCCUCCAUCAACCAGCUGACCAGAGGCCACGUCCAUUCCCAGCUGCCCUGAGAUGUACAUGGUUCUGUCCACAACCACCGCCUGGCUGAAGACACAGGAGACACACAGAGUAAAGUUUCCAAUGUCACUAAAUGUAAGUUCACCGUGGAGUCAUGGAAGAUUUUUACUCACAAAGUCAAAGUCUCCGUCCUGAGGAACCUUCCAGUUGUCGGGGAAGACAUUCUUAGACUGGAUGUGGUAGCCCG
Molecule: long non-coding RNA, 430 nt
Organism: Cynoglossus semilaevis (tongue sole)
Lineage: Eukaryota; Metazoa; Chordata; Actinopteri; Pleuronectiformes; Cynoglossidae
Exons: 3
Source: RefSeq, a predicted model, not a curated record